GUGCUCACCUUGACAGGACAUAUACUAAAAUUGGAAUGAUACAGAGAAGAUUAGCAUGGCCCCAGUGCAAGGAUGACACAUAAAUUAAUGUCACCAAUUUAG
Molecule: small nuclear RNA, 102 nt
Organism: Suricata suricatta (meerkat)
Lineage: Eukaryota; Metazoa; Chordata; Mammalia; Carnivora; Herpestidae
Source: Ensembl